Molecule: ribosomal RNA, 425 nt
Filed under: uncultured bacterium
Lineage: Bacteria
Description: partial 16S ribosomal RNA
Rfam family: Bacterial small subunit ribosomal RNA
Source: RNAcentral
GUGGGGAAUCUUGCGCAAUGGGCGAAAGCCUGACGCAGCCAUGCCGCGUGAAUGAUGAAGGUCUUAGGAUUGUAAAAUUCUUUCACCGGGGACGAUAAUGACGGUACCCGGAGAAGAAGCCCCGGCUAACUUCGUACCAGCAGCCGCGGUAAUACGAAGGGGGCUAGCGUUGCUCGGAAUUACUGGGCGUAAAGGGCGCGUAGGCGGACAGUUUAGUCAGAGGUGAAAGCCCAGGGCUCAACCUUGGAAUUGCCUUUGAUACUGGCUGUCUUGAGUACGGGAGAGGUGAGUGGAACUCCGAGUGUAGAGGUGAAAUUCGUAGAUAUUCGGAAGAACACCAGUGGCGAAGGCGACUCACUGGCCCGUUACUGACGCUGAGGCGCGAAAGCGUGGGGAGCAAACAGGAUUAGAAACCCGGGUAGUCC